This 916-nucleotide long non-coding RNA is filed under the name Salvia miltiorrhiza (redroot sage). RNAcentral's name for it is "long non-coding RNA (SMIL_LNC005536)". The record is from RNAcentral. Lineage: Eukaryota; Viridiplantae; Streptophyta; Magnoliopsida; Lamiales; Lamiaceae.
AGGGCAGCAACUCAAACGAAAAAAUAGGGCAGCCUGCUGAGUGCUGAACCCACCUUGCGCCGCCAGGCCCGCCACCACCUGCCGCUCGCGCCACCGCCGUCGGCCGUCGCUCCACCGCCGUCGCACCACCGGUUCCCACGGUCACCACAGGGCAGCCUGCUCAAGAGUAGUCUUUGUGAAUUUUUUCGCCGAUUCCACCUUCCAUUUUUUCUGCUGAUUCCACCUUGCGAAUUGUGGAGUCGCCGAGUCGGUGGGCUUAUGUAUGAAUUGUGGAGUGGAGUCGGUGGGUUAAUUGUGAAUUGUGGAGUCAGUGGAGUGGUAGAUUUUAUUUGUGAAUUGUGGAGUCAGUGGAGUGGAGUCUAUUAAUCUAUGAAUUAAUUUAUUCAAUUUUCGUCUAUUUUUCAAUUGGAGUCAGUGGACUUAGCAAAUAGUGGAGAUUUUUUCGUCUAUUAAUCUAUGAAUUAAUUUAUUCAAUUUUCGAAAGCAUUUUCUGCAAUGAAGCUCGUCAAAAGUGAUUUGCGAAAUCGUAUGCAAGACGAGUGGAUGAAUGACAGUUUGAUCGUGUACAUUGAAAAGGAUAUUUUCUCAACAAUUGAUAAUGAGAAGAUAUUGCAACAUUUUCAGUCGAUGCGUACACGUCGCAAUCAAUUGUCAUCACUUUCUCAAACAGAAACAACUAGUUCACCAAGUAUUUAUUCUUAGGUUAUUUGUAAUGUAUUGAACUUUUAUAGCUAUGUUAUUUCAAAUGUAUUAGAACUAUAUUAUCUAUGAAAAUAUUGUUUUUUAUUAAUAUUAUUAUUAUAAAAAUGUCUAAAAUGUACUGAAUGUCCCCAAAAAUUUUUUCCGGGGGCUACCGCCCCCGAACCCCCGUUGAAGUUCAGCCCCCCCCCAAAAAAAAUCCUGGGUCCGUCCCUGA